CCCCCUGUUAAUACAUUCCAGAAAAAAAGACAAAGUGUUUUUAAAAUUUACACUACUGAAAAAAAAAGUAACGCCAGUUAAGGAAAAAACAAAAUUUCCAAAUUAUGCUUUUUAAGAAAGAAGAAAGGAGAGAACACUAUUAAUACAAUAUCUGAUGUGCUAAAACCCUUUUAAUUGCUUUAGAACUCAAACCUGCUUUCGCUUACUUGAAAUCGUUGCAUAACUCAGAAGUGCUCUUAUAAUUCAAGCCAAAUGGUAGGGCACUUCGACGCGCUGGAGAAAUUGACUCAGAACUUUAAAGAGAGGCCGGCCAAGUUAUAAAUCGUAACUCUCCUCGGGAGGGAAGAGGUUAACUCAGAUUCCACUCACACACAGACUGGCAGAAUGUUUCCAGGGAGAGUGAGUGUGUGUGUGCGUGUGCAUGUGUGUGUGUGCAUAGAUGGUUUUUUUUCUUUUUUUAUUUUCUUUCCUUCUCUCUCUCUCUUUUUUUUUUUUAAACUCAGUAGGGGUUUGGAGAAGAGGUUUGGAAGGGAAGGAGAGGGCUGGUUCCAGGCCCCCUGCAUUCCCCAGAGCACCAUAAAGGAAGAGAGAGGCUUCCUGCCCGGGCAGCCAUCUGGAACAUUCUGCAGCGGCAGGGCCCCUGCACUGCAGUCCCCAAACCCGGGGUAGGCUUCCAGAAGAAAGAGAAAAACAACAGAAGUGCUGACAGCAAUAACCCUGACAAUAAUAAGGAUUGUUGUGGAGAUCUCGUCUUCAAAGCAGCGGUUGGAAUCAGUACUUAUGCUGGAAGUCAUCUCUGUAAACGAAUCUCCCAAAUUCUCCUUUUUUUGUGUGUAUUCUUUUAGGAAAUAAUCUUUUGAGAGCACAUCUUGGAGUGUUUAAGAGCAUUUUCUCAACUAAAAUGGAGACUUCCUAUAGGCUGAUUUCUUUCAGAAAUCCUAAAGCCCAUUGAAGCUCGUAUUUUCAAUAUGGAAAUUCUCUUCGUGAUGAAAGCCAUACUUUGUAAACGUGGAAUGUGAGCUUCAUAGUUGAAAUGUUCUUGAAAAUAAUAACUGUGCCAGUGAACUUCAAGCUGAUGAAGGCUAAUAGGCUCUGGAGUCGGAACAGAUCUCACUGCUUGGAGCCAGAUAGGAAUUUGGAACCAGCAGUUAUGUGUCGAAUCAGCCUAGAUCAGACCAGUCGCGGCUCUUGGGGGGAAAGGCAUGGGUGCCAGUGACAGGAGUCUGCUGCUUGGGCAGGUGAUUGAGGGGUAGAGACUAUUGGGUCCACUGAGGUGCACCUGGGUGCUAGGAAGGCUUUCUCUGUGAACCUGCACUGAGAUAUGGAAAGAAAGCCAAGAAAAACACAGUUGGUGCAGCAGCGCCAGACUGAGACCUGGAUACCGAAGUCAGCAGGUUCUAGGAGAUGAGAAAUCAUCUAAUGAAAGUGCUGUCUCUAGCCCGCGGGCCUGCUUAUUUGUUUUCAGUUUCCUUUCCCUCCUCCCUGUUGUGGUCAGAGGUAGACCUAGAGCAGCAUUUAAUUGUUU
RNAcentral lists this long non-coding RNA (1525 nucleotides) under Oryctolagus cuniculus (rabbit). Its description in RNAcentral is "lncRNA (ENSOCUG00000037484.1)". The record is from RNAcentral. Lineage: Eukaryota; Metazoa; Chordata; Mammalia; Lagomorpha; Leporidae.